This 474-nucleotide ribosomal RNA is filed under the name uncultured bacterium. RNAcentral's name for it is "bacterial SSU rRNA". It matches the Rfam family "Bacterial small subunit ribosomal RNA", at positions 107 to 598 of the family's 1533-position model. The record is from RNAcentral.
UGAGUAACGCGUGAGAAACCUGUCUUUCACAAAGGGAUAGCCUCGGGAAACCGGGAUUAAUACCUUAUGAUACUAAAGUAAUGCAUAUUACCUUAGUUAAAGUGUAAAACGGUGAUAGAGGGUCUCGCGUCCCAUUAGCUAGUUGGUAAGAUAAAGGCUUACCAAGGCAAUGAUGGGUAACCGGCCUGAGAGGGUGAACGGUCACACUGGAACUGAGACACGGUCCAGACUUCUACGGGAGGCAGCAGUGGGGAAUAUUGCACAAUGGAGGAAACUCUGAUGCAGCGACGUCGCGUGAACGAUGAAGGCUUUCGAGUCGUAAAGUUCUGUCUUUAGGGACGAUAAUGACGGUACCUAAAGAGGAAGCCCCGGCUAACUACGUGCCAGCAGCCGCGGUAAUACGUAGGGGGCGAGCGUUGUCCGGAUUUAUUGGGCGUAAAGGGUUCGCAGGCGGCCUUUUAAGUCAGAUGUGAA